This 536-nucleotide long non-coding RNA is filed under the name Salmo salar (Atlantic salmon). RNAcentral's name for it is "lncRNA (ENSSSAG00000121984.1)". The record is from RNAcentral. Lineage: Eukaryota; Metazoa; Chordata; Actinopteri; Salmoniformes; Salmonidae.
GUUUUCUAGAGUUGUGUGUGUCGUAUAGUUUUCCUGUGUCCUACAGAGCUGUGUGUUUUCUAAAGAUGUGUGUGUCGUAGAGUUUUCCUGUGUCCUGCAGAGCUGUGUGUUUUCUAGAGUUGUGUGUGUUGUAGAGUUUUCCUGUGUCCUGCAGAGCUGUGUGUUUUCUAAAGAUGUGUGUGUCGUAGAGUUUUCCUCCACGCUGCUUCUUGACAGACUGAAACAUGACCCCGCUAAGCCACACUGCUUCUUGACAGACGGAAACAUGACCCCGCUAAGCCACACUGCUUCUUGACAGACUGCUUGCUUAACCCGGAAGCCAGCCGCACCAAUCUGUCGUACAGCUGGCGACCGAAACCGCUGUGCCACUCAGGAGGCCCCAAGAUGGAUGUUUGUUAAACAAUUUGUGAAAUUGUUUAUAACAACAUUAUGUUAUUAUUUUUGGAAGAAAAACGAAUUCAAACAAUUGAGGCCCACCUGCAGUACCUCCGCAUACCACAAGUUAAAAACCACUGCUGUAGAGUUGUGUUGUAGAG